This is a long non-coding RNA of Egretta garzetta (little egret), 1266 nucleotides long. RefSeq lists it as uncharacterized. The record is from RefSeq and is a predicted model, not a curated record. Lineage: Eukaryota; Metazoa; Chordata; Aves; Pelecaniformes; Ardeidae. The transcript is spliced from 7 exons.
CAGAUCGAUGUCGUGCCUGAGGCAGGGUACCUUGUGCCACCAGAGGUGGCAGAAAGCUUGAAGGAAUUGCUGCGUGGCAGGCAGGACAAUACAGCUGGAGCCUGGAUGCAGUUGCCCAUCUGAGAGCACACCAUUGCUCCCGGGAAACUCUUCAAGGGAAAAAAAUAAAUGCUGAAAAUGCCAGCGCAGCCAUUUUCUGCACUAUUUCCUUCUCCAAGCACCAUCUCCUCAUGCAGCGACAGCAGUUUAUGAACGGUUCCACUUCACGUGUUCCUCUUCACGCCGACGCUCGCGCCCCGAGACCGAGCAUCUCUGCAGAAUAGACGGCGGGAAGAGGUUGGAGACAGGAGCGUGAGCGUAGGGAAGAAGCACAGCAAAUCAAUAUUUCCUGAAGUAUUGCGAUACUUGCCCUGAGCUGAGCAGAGCUCCACUAGGAUUUUAGUUUACAGACAAUUUGAAUUCCAUUCAUCCUGAAUGAACCACGCAGGAAAACGGAGCAAUUCACAGAGCAUUUUCCCAGUUUACAGACGGUUUCAGUUGAAAAACUUCGAUGAAUGCCAUAUAAAAUCAUUUGUCUGUAUCACCCCGAUCCACCUCAUUUUCAUAAUAAAGCCAUCAGAGGGAGUGCGCAGCUGAGCCGAAUAAACUCUGCCCAUAUCCCAUUGUGGGUGAAAAAUUACCGGUGAUUCCCAUUGUUCUUUGCAAAGUGUCGCUUUGUCGCUGUCGUCACACAAGAUCGGGGUGGGUGGUCCUCCAGGUCUCACAAAUGACUGAAACCCCUGUCUCCAGCUGCAUACCCAACCACCUCACGAACAGAUGACCUCAUGUGAUGGAUAUGGCAGAGACUGGCCUAACACAGUGGCCUGUCGGUGCCUGCCUCUAAGUUGCCACUGAAGGCCGUGUCUUCUGGAAGCGGUUGCCCUCAGCCAGACGGGAUGCCACCACCUGCCUGCACCACCUCUGCAUAGGAGACCGGACCCAGGGCUGCGCCGCUGGUGUAGGAGAAGAUGCACCACAGCAGGAGGACAUGGAAGGACCAAAGGAGUGAAUGUCAUAUGCGGUUUGUGCUGUUCCUUCUAGGUUUUUUCCCUAUUGCCUUCUCAACAGCAGUUAUAUGUUUAGGUGCAGUAUGCAUGGUCACAGGGAACUUCAACAGAGCUCUUCCCUGUUUUUAUUUUUUUGUCUCCUAAACCACCUGGAUCCCAAUUUAUGUGUGCCUUUUUCCCUAAUGCACUCCAGCAGAGUUACUUUGAUCCUGCCCAGUGG